GGCCGGCUGGCGCAAUGGUAGCGCAUCAGACUUCUAUCAUCUCAUUCAUGAGUUGCGGUCAUCUGGGGGUUGUGGGUUCGAGCCCCACGUUGGUCA
Molecule: transfer RNA, 96 nt
Organism: Colletotrichum salicis
Lineage: Eukaryota; Fungi; Ascomycota; Sordariomycetes; Glomerellales; Glomerellaceae
Rfam family: tRNA
About the family: Transfer RNA (tRNA) molecules are approximately 80 nucleotides in length.
Source: Rfam